CGGCGGCGGGCGGCGGGGGAUUGGUCAGCAGCUCGGAGGGGGUGGGCCCGCGCCGCGCGCAGCGCCUCGGCUGGAGCGCCAGGAGCAGCUCCCGCCGCCUCAGUCGCCUCAGACUCGGUCGCCUCAGGCUCUGUCGCCGCCUCGAUCGCCCCGUCGUCACCCGCUCCCCCCCCAUCCCGGCCCCACCCCGGGCUCCGGCCCGGGCCAGCCGGCGGGCACGCCCUCCUCCGCGGACAGUUGAGUACCUUCAGGUAUCUUCAAGCCCUCCUUGGAGCAGGGCUGAUGCUGCGUCUUAGCACAGCUCUCACAGCAUGGCCUGGAAGUCGCAUCAUCUGGAACCCUGGACUCAACAGACCCCAAAUGCCUUCAGGACCUUUUUUCAGUCAGUGCUUAUGUGUAUGCCCAGAAGCCACAACUGGAUAUUCAUAGUUUUGAAGGCACAUUUACCAGGGUAAGUUAAAUCUUGUGUUAAAUACAAAUAUAUUCAUUGUGUAUAUACGUUAAAAACAGCAAACCUUAAAUUUGAAUAAAUGAGAACAGAAGCUUUGAACUGAAAAGGGAAAGCCUAGAGAAUGUUUCAAGUUCUUAAAUUUUCCCACAUCCGGUCUCUGUGGGAUAUACUCAGUACAGUGUUUUUGUUUAGCAUAUUUACUCUGGAGAAAGUCCUUCUCCCUGAAAAUAUUACGAGCCAGUAAGAUGAAGUACUUUCACUAGUUCAGUGUGAGUUUGGAUAGGAUUUAAUAGACUGUGAUACCCACAUUGUUUCCUGGUUUGUAUUGACUGGAUGGCUGUGCAUCUGCUCAUGUACACGUGUGUGCUUCAUUGGAUUCUUUGCACGAUCAUGGUGUUUUGCUAUAGCUUGAAGUCCCUUCUCCCCAGUGACUCCCCAAUCAGAUUUGGAGGACUCAGUAACUUUUGAUUUUAACAGCUGAUAUUAUAAAUGCUUCAUAAUACUUAAGGGGUUUGUGGGGGCACCUGGAUGGCUCAGUCGUUAAGCGUCUGCCUUCGGCUCAGGUCACGGUCCCAGGGUCCUGGGAUCGAGCCCCACAUCGGGCUCCCUGCUCAGCAGGAGGCCUGCUUCUCCCUCUCCCACUCCCCCUGCUUAUGUUCCCUCUCUCGCUGUGUCUCUCUCUGUCAAAGAAAUAAAUAAAAUCUUUUAAAAAUAUAUAUAUAAUCCUUAAGGGGUUUUAGUAUAUGUCUAUAGUUUACUUUUAAUUGCUGCAGAUUUCUGUUGGUAUAGUCUGCUUCGUUUCCCUCUUGUUCACGUACCAGGAUUAGUGAGCAGUUGUCAUCAUUUGAGAAA
RNAcentral lists this long non-coding RNA (1303 nucleotides) under Zalophus californianus (California sea lion). RNAcentral's name for it is "lncRNA (ENSZCAG00015009420.1)". The record is from RNAcentral. Lineage: Eukaryota; Metazoa; Chordata; Mammalia; Carnivora; Otariidae.